UAUGUGUGACUGGCGAAACGUGGAGUACCACGAGGAAGCACAUAUUUCAUACGCCGUUCGCCUGGGCAA
This 69-nucleotide non-coding RNA is filed under the name uncultured Paenibacillus sp. RNAcentral describes it as "ZMP/ZTP riboswitch". It matches the Rfam family "ZMP/ZTP riboswitch aptamer (pfl RNA motif)", at positions 6 to 81 of the family's 86-position model. From Rfam's summary of the family: Previously known as pfl RNA. ZMP is also known as AICAR. Lineage: Bacteria; Bacillati; Bacillota; Bacilli; Caryophanales; Paenibacillaceae. The record is from RNAcentral.